This 566-nucleotide ribosomal RNA is filed under the name uncultured bacterium. RNAcentral describes it as "partial 16S ribosomal RNA". It matches the Rfam family "Bacterial small subunit ribosomal RNA", at positions 355 to 914 of the family's 1533-position model. The record is from RNAcentral.
UGGGGAAUUUUGGACAAUGGGCGAAAGCCUGAUCCAGCAAUGCCGCGUGUGUGAAGAAGGCCUUCGGGUUGUAAAGCACUUUUGUCCGGAAAGAAAUCCUUGGCUCUAAUACAGUCGGGGGAUGACGGUACCGGAAGAAUAAGCACCGGCUAACUACGUGCCAGCAGCCGCGGUAAUACGUAGGGUGCAAGCGUUAAUCGGAAUUACUGGGCGUAAAGCGUGCGCAGGCGGUUUGCUAAGACCGAUGUGAAAUCCCCGGGCUCAACCUGGGAACUGCAUUGGUGACUGGUAGGCUAGAGUAUGGCAGAGGGGGGUAGAAUUCCACGUGUAGCAGUGAAAUGCGUAGAGAUGUGGAGGAAUACCGAUGGCGAAGGCAGCCCCCUGGGCCAAUACUGACGCUCAUGCACGAAAGCGUGGGGAGCAAACAGGAUUAGAUACCCUGGUAGUCCACGCCCUAAACGAUGUCAACUGGUUGUUGGGAAGGUUCCUUCUCAGUAACGUAGCUAACGCGUGAAGUUGACCGCCUGGGGAGUACGGCCGCAAGGUUGAAACUCAAAUGAAUUGAC